This 406-nucleotide ribosomal RNA is filed under the name uncultured bacterium. RNAcentral describes it as "partial 16S ribosomal RNA". It matches the Rfam family "Bacterial small subunit ribosomal RNA", at positions 30 to 526 of the family's 1533-position model. The record is from RNAcentral.
AUUGAACGCUGGCGGCAGGCCUAACACAUGCAAGUCGAACGAGUGGCGGACGGGUGAGUAAUGUCUGGGAAACUGCCUGAUGGAGGGGGAUAACUACUGGAAACGGUAGCUAAUACCGCAUACCAUGGGAUGUGCCCAGAUGGGAUUAGCUAGUAGGUGGGGUAACGGCUCACCUAGGCGACGAUCACUAGCUGGUCUGCGAGGAUGACCAGCCACACUGGAACUGAGACACGGUCCAGACUCCGACGUGAGGCAUCAUUGGGGAAUAUUGCACAAUGGGCGCAAGCCUGAUGCAGCCAUGCCGCGUGUAUGAAGAAGGCCUUCGGGUUGUAAAGUACUUUCAGCGGGGAGGCGUUACCAACAGAAUAAGCACCGGCUAACUUCGUGCCAGCAGCCGCGGUAAUAC